AGAGUUUGAUCCUGGCUCAGAACGAACGCUGGCGGCGUGGAUAAGACAUGCAAGUCGAGCGAGAUUUUUCGUUGUAGCAAUACGAUGGAAAGUCUAGCGGCGAACGGGUGCUUAACACGUGGGCAACCUGCCGUGAAGUGGGGGAUAGCUCGCCGAAAGGCGAAUUAAUACCGCAUGUGAUUAGAGAGGACAUCCUUUCGAAAUUAAAGUCGGGGUAACCUGACGCUUCUUGUGGGGCCCGCGGCCUAUCAGCUUGUUGGUGAGGUAACGGCUCACCAAGGCUUUGACGGGUAGCUGGUCUGAGAGGACGACCAGCCACACUGGGACUGAGACACGGCCCAGACACCUACGGGUGGCAGCAGUCGAGAAUUUUUGACAAUGGGGGAAACCCUGAUCGAGCGACGCCGCGUGGAGGAUGAAGGUCUUCGGAUUGUAAACUCCUGUCAUUGGGGAACAAGGUGCAUACGUUAACUGCGUGUGCAUUGAUAGUACCCGAAGAGGAAGAGACGGCUAACUCUGUGCCAGCAGCCGCGGUAAUACAGAGGUCUCAAGCGUUGUUCGGAUUCAUUGGGCGUAAAGGGUGCGUAGGCGGCGCGGUAAGUCGGGUGUGAAAUCUCGGAGCUUAACUCCGAAACUGCAUUCGAUACUGCCGUGCUUGAGGACUGGAGAGGAGACUGGAAUUUACGGUGUAGCGGUGAAAUGCGUAGAUAUCGUAAGGAAGACCAGUGGCGAAGGCGGGUCUCUGGACAGUUCCUGACGCUGAGGCACGAAGGCCAGGGGAGCAAACGGGAUUAGAUACCCUAGUAGUCC
This 810-nucleotide ribosomal RNA is filed under the name uncultured bacterium. RNAcentral describes it as "bacterial SSU rRNA". It matches the Rfam family "Bacterial small subunit ribosomal RNA", at positions 8 to 796 of the family's 1533-position model. The record is from RNAcentral.